GUGCCAGCCGCCGCGGUAAUACCGGCAGCCCGAGCGAUGGCCGAUCUUAUUGGGCCUAAAGCGUCCGGAGGUGGCCGCACAAGUCCAUCGGAAAAUCCACCCGCCCAACGGGUGGGCGUCCGGUGGAAACUGAGUGGCUUGGGACCGGAAGGCGCGACGGGUACGUCCGGGGUAGGAGUGAAAUCCUGAAAUCCUGGAAGGACCGCCGAUGGCGAAAGCACGUCCCGAGGACGGAUCCGACAGUGAGGGACGAAAGCCAGGGUCUCGAACCGGAUUAGAAACCCCCGUAGUCC
RNAcentral lists this ribosomal RNA (293 nucleotides) under uncultured prokaryote. Its description in RNAcentral is "partial 16S ribosomal RNA". It matches the Rfam family "Archaeal small subunit ribosomal RNA", at positions 455 to 747 of the family's 1478-position model. The record is from RNAcentral.